ACAUGUAUGCAUAUACACAUACAUAUGCAUACAUAUACAUAUAUAUAUAUGUAUAUAUAUAUUUUCAUAUAUGCAUACAUGUAUGUAUGUAUGUAUGUAUGUGUACAUAUAUGGCUUUUUUUGGAGAAUAGUGCAGGAACUGGGUUACACGACUCCAAUUUGGCUUCAAGAAAAGCUGAAGAAGCAGUAAGGAACAUGAAAAUUGGAUUUUUUUGGAGAAUAGUGCAAGAACUGGGUUGCAUGACUUCAAUUUGGCUUCAAGAAAAGCUGAAGAAGCAGCUUGGAAGCAAUUUCCAGCAGUUGCGUAGCUUGAAAGCUUAGUUGAGCCUCUAGUUAUAUCAUUGCAGCCAUCAGAGAGAGUGUUGAUUUCUCGCUUGAGAAUUGCUCUCAUACUCUGCAACAGCAUGAACAAGAUCAAUCCAGCAGGGAAGCUCAUCCGCCACCCUUGUAUCAGUUAAUUGAGAAUGUAAAGAACUUUUUGGUGGCACUCAAAGGGUUGAAGCUGCCAGCUUUUGAAGCUUCUGAUCUUGAAAAGUGCUAGCUCGGACAAUUGUGCAUUGUUUGUGGAAACUUUGAGGUUGUGACCCAGGAAAAUAUAGGAUACCGAAGACAAAAGAGAGGACGGGUGGAUGACAUGGCAGCCAAGGAUGACGUGACAUGACAAAGUGGUGUGGAAACAAGAAGACUGGAUUUUAUGGAGAAUGGUGCAAGAACUGGGUUACAUGACUUCAAUUUCACUUCAAGAAAUGCUGAAGAAGGAGGAACAAGAAGAUUGGAUUUUUUUUCAGAAUAGUGCAAGAACUAGGUUACAUGAGUUCAAGAAAAGGUGAAGAAGCAGCGUGGAAGCAAUUUCAAGCAGUUGUGUAGCUUGAAAGCUUAGUCGGGCCUCUGGUUAUAUCAAGGCAGCUGUCAAAGAGUGUUCAUUUCUCGCUUGAGAAUUGAUCUUAUUCUCUGCAAUGUCAUUAACAAGAUCAAUCCAGGUGCUAUAGCCAAGGUUGUGGAGAACAUUUCUUAUAUGCAAUCAUUCAGCGGGGAAGCUCAACUGAGACCUUUGUAUCAGUUAUAUGAGAAUGUAAGAAACUUUUUGGUGGCAAUCAAAGAGUUGAAGCUGCCAGCAUUUAAGCUUGUGAUCUUGAAAAGUCAAAGAGUUGAAGCUGCCAGCUUUUGAAGCUUCUGAUCUUGAAAAGUAAUUUUCUGAUUGCAUACUUUGAUUCCUUGCUAGCUUGGACAACUGUGCAUUGUUUGUGGAAACUUUGAGGUUGCGACCCAGGAAAAUAUAGGAAGCUAAAGACGAAAAGGAGGACGGGUGGAUGACAUGACAGUCAAGGAUGACGUGACAACAUGUUUGGCAUGACAUGACAAAAUGGUGUGGUGUGCUUAUGUGGCAUGAGGUGUCAUGUUUUCUAGUUGUGGAAAGUUUAAUUUAAUUUAACGUUCCUAAUUUAAUUUAAUUUUCCUAAUGUUUUUAAGUAUUUAAUUUAAAGUUAAUUUGUGCAAGUGUGGAAGACUGGAUAUGUUGUCAAGUAUAGAGUGGCGUGAUUAUACACACCAAAGAGGUGGGAAGUUGUGGGGAGGCAUGAAGUUUGUGACGGAGAUAUUCAAUUCAUAUAUUUUCAGUUGUAGUAUCUACUAACCGUUUAUAUUCUAUUUUAGUGCUAGCUUGGACAACUGUGCAUUGUUUGCGGAAACUUUGAGGUUGCGACCCGGGAAAACAUAGGAUGCCAAAGACAAAAAAGAGGACCGGUGGAUGACAUAACAGUCAAGGAUGACGUGACAAUAUGUUUGGCGUGACAUGACAAAGUGGUGUGGUGUGCUCAUGUGGCAUGAGGGAACAAGAAGACUGGAUUUUUAUGGAGAAUGGUGCAAGAACUGGGUUACAGAAUGCUGAAGGAGAAUAGUGCAAGAACUAGGUUACAUGAGUUCAAGAAAAGGUGAAGAAGCAGCGGGGAAGCAAUUUCAAGCAGUUACGUAGCUUGAAAGCUUAGUCGGGCCUCUGGUUAUAUCAAGGCAGCUGUCAAAGAGAGUGUUCAUUUCUCGCUUGAGAAUUGAUCUCAUUCUCUGCAAUGUCAUUAACAAGAUCAAUCCAGGUGCUAUAGCCAAGGUUGUGGAGAACAUUUCUUAUAUACAAUCAUUCAGCGGGAAAACUCAACCGCGACCUUUGUAUCAGUUAUAUGAGAAUGUAAGAAACUUUUUGGCGGCUGUCAAAGAGUUGAAGCUUCAGCAUUUAAGCUUGUGAUCUUGAAAAGGUUGUAGAGAAUAUUUCAUAUAUAUAAUCAAUCGGCGAGGAAGCUCAACCACCACCUGCGGAUCAGUUCUUUGAGAAUGUUGUAGAGAAUAUUUCAUAUAUAUAAUCAAUCGGCGAGGAAGCUCAACCACCACCUGCGGAUCAGUUCUUUGAGAAUGUAAGGAACUUUUUGGUGGUAGUCAAAGAGUUGAAGUUGUCAGCUUAAGCUUCUGAUCUUGAAAAGUUUGGGUCAACAGUGAAGGUUGUAGAUUCCAUUUUAUCCCUAAAAUUAUAUCAUGAAUGGAAGCAAACGAACAAUGGGAACGGUUAUCAACAAUCACAUUAGGGUCUUGUAGACACUUGGACAUGUCUGUGGUUGUCUAGCAAUGUUGAUUCACUCAUCAAUCCAAGCACUGUAGUCAAGGUUGUGGAGAAUAUUUCAUUUGUACAAUCAAUUAGCAGGGAAGCUCAACCACCAUUUGCGGAUCAGUUAUUUGAGAAUGUAAGGAAGCUUUUGGCGGCAAUCAAAGCGUUGAAGCUGACAGCUUAAGCUUCUGAUCUUCAAAAGGUAAUUCAAUAUCUAAUGUGCAUAUGUAUAUGGUGAUGAACAUAUAUUUGGUAUAGGAGUAUUGAUAUACAAACGAGUGUAUUAAUUGGUUUUGGCUUCUUAAAUAUACUUUGAAGUUUGGGUUAACAGCGAAGGUUGUAUUUUAGCCCCAAAAUUAUAUCAUGAAUGGAAGCAAACGAACAAUGGAAACGGUUAUCAACAAUCACAUCAAACUCUUGUAGACACUUAGACAUGUCUGUGGUAUAUCUUUUACUGUUCUGUGUUAAUUAAUAUAAUAACUUUAUUUAAUAUUUUUAUAUUUAAUUUAUUAGCAAUAUCAUUUAAUUUUUCAAAGAGAUUUUAGCUUGUACAUAACCUUUUUUUUUUAUAGGUUGUCUAGCAAUGUUGAUUCACUCAUCAAGGUACUUGUUGAAAAUCUAGUUAAUGUAAUGGAAAACAUUGA
Mangifera indica (mango) is the source of this 3234-nucleotide long non-coding RNA. RefSeq lists it as uncharacterized. The transcript has 20 exons. Lineage: Eukaryota; Viridiplantae; Streptophyta; Magnoliopsida; Sapindales; Anacardiaceae. The record is from RefSeq and is a predicted model, not a curated record.